GAUGAACGCUGACAGAAUGCUUAACACAUGCAAGUCUACCAAGAAUCACUUCGGUGAGGAAUGGUGGCGGACGGGUGAGUAACGCGUAAAUAAUCUGCCCUUUAGACUGGGAUAUCCUUUGGAAACGAAGGUUAAUACCGGAUAUUAUGAGAUGGACGCAUGUUCAACUUAUGAAUGCUAAAUGCACUAGAGGAGGAGUUUGCGUCCCAUUAGCUAGUUGGUGAGGUAAAGGCUCACCAAGGCCACGAUGGGUAGCCGGCCUGAGAGGGUGAACGGCCACAAGGGAACUGAGACACGGUCCUUACUCCUACGGGAGGCAGCAGUGGGGAAUAUUGGACAAUGGACCAAAAGUCUGAUCCAGCAAUUCUGUGUGCACGAUGAAGGUCUUCGGAUUGUAAAGUGCUUUCAGUAGGGAAGAAAAAAAUGACGGUACCUACAGAAGAAGCGACGGCUAAAUAUGUGCCAGCAGCCGCCGCAG
RNAcentral lists this ribosomal RNA (478 nucleotides) under uncultured bacterium. RNAcentral describes it as "partial 16S ribosomal RNA". It matches the Rfam family "Bacterial small subunit ribosomal RNA", at positions 28 to 523 of the family's 1533-position model. The record is from RNAcentral.